Molecule: ribosomal RNA, 524 nt
Filed under: uncultured bacterium
Lineage: Bacteria
Description: partial 16S ribosomal RNA
Rfam family: Bacterial small subunit ribosomal RNA
Source: RNAcentral
GACGAACGCUGGCGGCGUGCCUAAUACAUGCAAGUCGAGCGCAGGAAGCCGUCUGAACCCUUCGGGGGGACGACGGUGGAAUGAGCGGCGGACGGGUGAGUAACACGUAAAGAACCUGCCCAUAGGUCUGGGAUAACCACGAGAAAUCGGGGCUAAUACCGGAUGUGUCAUCGGACCGCAUGGUCCGCUGAUGAAGGGCGCUUCGGCGUCGCCCAUGGAUGGCUUUGCGGUGCAUUAGCUAGUUGGUGGGGUAACGGCCCACCAAGGCGACGAGGCAUAGCCGGCCUGAGAGGGUGAUCGGCCACACUGGGACUGAGACACGGCCCAGACUCCUACGGGAGGCAGCAGUAGGGAAUCUUCCACAAUGGACGAAAGUCUGAUGGAGCAACGCCGCGUGAACGAUGAAGGCUUUCGGGUCGUAAAGUUCUGUUGUAAGGGAAGAACAAGUGCCGCAGGCAAUGGCGGCACCUUGACGGUACCUUGCGAGAAAGCCACGGCUAACUACGUGCCAGCAGCCGCAGUAA